AUGGAUUCAGCCUCCAGAGUUGCCCCGCCGCCGGUCAGCGCUGGUGUCCGCGUCCGCGCGCCGCUGGUAGAGUCCGUCUCCUGUUACUGCAGAUUAGAUACGGGCCUUAAAACUGUCGUGGAUGCUAGAAAAUUUGCUUCUGGAGCAAAGAUGUGCAUGCAACCUGAUGCCAAACUAACCAAGCGCAAGUCAAGGGGCUCGCGGAAGGAGAGGUGCCGAGCUCAAGCACCACUUUUGCCUGGCCUUCCUGAUGAUCUUGCAAUUGCCUGUCUUAUACGGGUUCCACGAGUGGAACACCCCAAUCUCCGGACAGUUUGUAAAAGAUGGAACCGCCUUUUGUCAGGAAAUUACUAUUAUUCCUUGCGCAAGAAACUCAGCAUGGCAGAAGAAUGGGUUUAUGUCUUUAAAAGGGAUCGUGAGGGGAAAAUAUCCUGGCAUGCCUUCGAUCCACUGAACCAGCUCUGGAAGUCCCUUCCACCUGUUCCACCGGAGUAUUCAGAAGCGUUGGGUUUUGGCUGUGCUGUUCUGAGUGGUUGCUAUCUGUACUUAUUUGGCGGUAAGGAUCCUUUGAGGGGCUCUAUGAGACGUGUUGUAUUUUACAAUGCCCGGACCAACAAAUGGCAUCGAGCUCCAGAUAUGUUACGAAAGCGACACUUUUUUGGUUCCUGUGUAAUAAACAAUUGUCUAUAUGUUGCUGGUGGAGAAUGUGAAGGCAUACAAAGGACUCUUCAGUCUGCUGAAGUUUAUGACCCUAAUAGGAACAGAUGGGUCUGCAUCCCUGAGAUGAACAACGGGAUGGUGCCUUUCAUCGGAGUUGUAUAUGAUGACAAGUGGUUCCUAAAAGGGCUUGACUCCCAUCGCCAAGUGACAUGUGAAGUGUACCUACCGUCAUCCAAUUUGUGGUCAACCAUUGAUGAUGAAAUGGUUACAGGUUGGCGAAACCCAAGCAUUUCCUUCAAUGGACGUCUCUAUUCAUCUGAUUGCCGGGAUGGCUGCAAGCUUAGAGUCUAUGAUGCAAACACAGGAACAUGGGCACGAUUCAUAGACAGCAAGCACCAUCUAGGCAGCUCACGAGCCUUUGAAGCCGCAGGCUUGGUGUCUUUAAAUGGUAAGCUUUGCAUUAUUCGCAACAACAUGAGCAUCACUCUUGUUGAUAUCUUGCAUCCAACAAUGAGUAUCGAGACCGACAGUGCAUGCAUGUGGGAAACUGUUGCUCGUAAGGGUCAGCACAAGUCAUUUGUGGCAAACCUGUGGUCGACCAUUGCAGGACGUAACCUGAAGAGUCACAUAAUCCAUUGUCAGGUGCUGCAAAUUUGA
RNAcentral lists this ribosomal RNA (1317 nucleotides) under Triticum aestivum (bread wheat). Its description in RNAcentral is "partial small subunit ribosomal RNA". The record is from RNAcentral. Lineage: Eukaryota; Viridiplantae; Streptophyta; Magnoliopsida; Poales; Poaceae.